CACGUAGGGGCCAAGCGUUGUCCGGAUUUAUUGGGCGUAAAGAGCUCGUAGGCGGUUCGACAAGUCGGGUGUGAAAACUCCGGGCUCAACCCGGAGACGCCACCCGAUACUGUCGUGACUGGAGUCCGGUAGGGGAGUGGGGAAUUCCUGGUGUAGCGGUGAAAUGAGCAGAUAUCAGGAGGAACACCGGUGGCGAAGGCGCCACUCUGGGCCGGUACUGACGCUGAGGAGCGAAAGCGUGGGUAGCAAACAGG
RNAcentral lists this ribosomal RNA (254 nucleotides) under uncultured bacterium. RNAcentral's name for it is "partial 16S ribosomal RNA". It matches the Rfam family "Bacterial small subunit ribosomal RNA", at positions 524 to 776 of the family's 1533-position model. The record is from RNAcentral.